GGGUUGUGAGGUUAAGCGACUAAGCGUACACGGUGGAUGCCCUGGCAGUCAGAGGCGAUGAAGGACGUGCUAAUCUGCGAAAAGCGUCGGUAAGGUGAUAUGAACCGUUAUAACCGGCGAUGUCCGAAUGGGGAAACCCAGUGCAAUUCGUUGCACUAUCGUUAACUGAAUACAUAGGUUAACGAGGCGAACCGGGGGAACUGAAACAUCUAAGUACCCCGAGGAAAAGAAAUCAACCGAGAUUCCCCCAGUAGCGGCGAGCGAACGGGGAGCAGCCCAGAGUCUGAAUCAGCUUGUGUGUUAGUGGAACGGUCUGGAAAGUCCGACGGUACAGGGUGAUAGUCCCGUACACCAAAAUGCACAGGCUGUGAACUCGAAGAGUAGGGCGGGACACGUGGUAUCCUGUCUGAAUAUGGGGGGACCAUCCUCCAAGGCUAAAUACUCCUGACUGACCGAUAGUGAACCAGUACCGUGAGGGAAAGGCGAAAAGGACCCCGGCGAGGGGAGUGAAAAAGAACCUGAAACCGUGUACGUACAAGCAGUGGGAGCACCUUCGGGUGUGACUGCGUACCUUUUGUAUAAUGGGUCAGCGACUUAUAUUCUGUAGCAAGGUUAACCGUAUAGGGGAGCCGCAGGGAAACCGAGUCUUAACUGGGCGUUAAGUUGCAGGGUAUAGACCCGAAACCCGGUGAUCUAGCCAUGGGCAGGUUGAAGGUUGGGUAACACUAACUGGAGGACCGAACCGACUAAUGUUGAAAAAUUAGCGGAUGACUUGUGGCUGGGGGUGAAAGGCCAAUCAAACCGGGAGAUAGCUGGUUCUCCCCGAAAGCUAUUUAGGUAGCGCCUCGUGAAUUCAUCUUCGGGGUAGAGCACUGUUUCGGCUAGGGGGUCAUCCCGACUUACCAACCCGAUGCAAACUACGAAUACCGAAGAAUGUUAUCACGGGAGACACACGGCGGGUGCUAACGUCCGUCGUGAAGAGGGAAACAACCCAGACCGCCAGCUAAGGUCCCAAAGUCAUGGUUAAGUGGGAAACGAUGUGGGAAGGCACAGACAGCCAGGAUGUUGGCUUAGAAGCAGCCAUCAUUUAAAGAAAGCGUAAUAGCUCACUGGUCGAGUCGGCCUGCGCGGAAGAUGUAACGGGGCUAAACCAUGCACCGAAGCUGCGGCAGCGACACUAUGUGUUGUUGGGUAGGGGAGCGUUCUGUAAGCCUGCGAAGGUGACCUGUGAGGGUUGCUGGAGGUAUCAGAAGUGCGAAUGCUGACAUAAGUAACGAUAAAGCGGGUGAAAAGCCCGCUCGCCGGAAGACCAAGGGUUCCUGUCCAACGUUAAUCGGGGCAGGGUGAGUCGACCCCUAAGGCGAGGCCGAAAGGCGUAGUCGAUGGGAAACAGGUUAAUAUUCCUGUACUUGGUGUUACUGCGAAGGGGGGACGGAGAAGGCUAUGUUAGCCGGGCGACGGUUGUCCCGGUUUAAGCAUGUAGGCUGGUUGUCCAGGCAAAUCCGGAUAAUCAAGGCUGAGGUGUGAUGACGAGGCACUACGGUGCUGAAGUAACAAAUGCCCUGCUUCCAGGAAAAGCCUCUAAGCAUCAGGUAACAUCAAAUCGUACCCCAAACCGACACAGGUGGUCAGGUAGAGAAUACCAAGGCGCUUGAGAGAACUCGGGUGAAGGAACUAGGCAAAAUGGUGCCGUAACUUCGGGAGAAGGCACGCUGGUGUGUAGGUGAAGCCCCUGCGGGUGGAGCUGAGACCAGUCGAAGAUACCAGCUGGCUGCAACUGUUUAUUAAAAACACAGCACUGUGCAAACACGAAAGUGGACGUAUACGGUGUGACGCCUGCCCGGUGCCGGAAGGUUAAUUGAUGGGGUUAUCCGUAAGGAGAAGCUCUUGAUCGAAGCCCCGGUAAACGGCGGCCGUAACUAUAACGGUCCUAAGGUAGCGAAAUUCCUUGUCGGGUAAGUUCCGACCUGCACGAAUGGCGUAAUGAUGGCCAGGCUGUCUCCACCCGAGACUCAGUGAAAUUGAACUCGCUGUGAAGAUGCAGUGUACCCGCGGCAAGACGGAAAGACCCCGUGAACCUUUACUAUAGCUUGACACUGAACAUUGAGCCUUGAUGUGUAGGAUAGGUGGGAGGCUUUGAAGCGUGGACGCCAGUCUGCGUGGAGCCAACCUUGAAAUACCACCCUUUAAUGUUUGAUGUUCUAACGUUGGCCCCUUACCGGGGUUGCGGACAGUGUCUGGUGGGUAGUUUGACUGGGGCGGUCUCCUCCCAAAGCGUAACGGAGGAGCACGAAGGUUAGCUAAUCCUGGUCGGACAUCAGGAGGUUAGUGCAAUGGCAUAAGCUAGCUUGACUGCGAGCGUGACGGCGCGAGCAGGUGCGAAAGCAGGUCAUAGUGAUCCGGUGGUUCUGAAUGGAAGGGCCAUCGCUCAACGGAUAAAAGGUACUCCGGGGAUAACAGGCUGAUACCGCCCAAGAGUUCAUAUCGACGGCGGUGUUUGGCACCUCGAUGUCGGCUCAUCACAUCCUGGGGCUGAAGUAGGUCCCAAGGGUAUGGCUGUUCGCCAUUUAAAGUGGUACGCGAGCUGGGUUUAGAACGUCGUGAGACAGUUCGGUCCCUAUCUGCCGUGGGCGCUGGAGAAUUGAGGGGGGCUGCUCCUAGUACGAGAGGACCGGAGUGGACGCAUCACUGGUGUUCGGGUUGUCAUGCCAAUGGCACUGCCCGGUAGCUAAAUGCGGAAGAGAUAAGUGCUGAAAGCAUCUAAGCACGAAACUUGCCCCGAGAUGAGUUCUCCCUGAGACUUUAAGUCUCCUGAAGGAACGUUGAAGACGACGACGUUGAUAGGCCGGGUGUGUAAGCGCAGCGAUGCGUUGAGCUAACCGGUACUAAUGAACCGUGAGGCUUAACCUUACAACGCCGAAG
RNAcentral lists this ribosomal RNA (2922 nucleotides) under Klebsiella pneumoniae. RNAcentral's name for it is "bacterial LSU rRNA". It matches the Rfam family "Bacterial large subunit ribosomal RNA". Lineage: Bacteria; Pseudomonadati; Pseudomonadota; Gammaproteobacteria; Enterobacterales; Enterobacteriaceae. The record is from RNAcentral.